CCCUUAGAUGUUCUGGGCCGCACGCGUGCUACACUGAGUGGAUCAGCGGGUCAGGUUGCGCGAAAGUGUUUCCUAAUCUUUAAAUCCGCUCGUGAUGGGGAUUGACGGUUGCAAUUUUCCGUCAUGAACGAGGAAUACCUUGUAAGCGCGGGUCAUCAUCCCGCGCUGAAUACGUCCCUGCCCUUUGUACACACCGCCCGUCGCUCCUACCGAUUGGGUGUGCUGGUGAAAUGUUCGGAUCGGCCGUUUGUCGCGGUUUCCGCGGCUCGUGGCUGAGAAGUUCAUUAAACCCUCCCACCUAGAGGAAGGAGAAGUCGUAACA
Molecule: ribosomal RNA, 322 nt
Filed under: uncultured eukaryote
Lineage: Eukaryota
Description: partial 18S ribosomal RNA
Rfam family: Eukaryotic small subunit ribosomal RNA
Source: RNAcentral